RNAcentral lists this ribosomal RNA (1482 nucleotides) under Triticum aestivum (bread wheat). RNAcentral describes it as "partial small subunit ribosomal RNA". Lineage: Eukaryota; Viridiplantae; Streptophyta; Magnoliopsida; Poales; Poaceae. The record is from RNAcentral.
AUGGCGAUGGCGUCCUUUCGCCCCCUUCCUCUCGCGCUCCUGCUCGCCGCGUGCCUCUCCGCGCUCGUGCUGGCCGUGGCGCACGCGCGGACCCCACGGCUGGAGCCCACCAUCCGGCUGCCGUCGCAGCGCGCCGGCGGGCAGGAGGACGAUGGCUCCAUCGGGACCAGGUGGGCCGUCCUCAUCGCCGGCUCCAACGGCUACUACAACUACCGCCACCAGGCGGAUAUCUGCCACGCCUACCAGAUCAUGAAGAAGGGUGGUCUCAAGGAUGAGAACAUCAUCGUAUUCAUGUACGAUGACAUUGCGCACAACCCGGAGAACCCGAGGCCGGGCGUCAUCAUCAACCACCCCCAGGGUGGAGAUGUCUAUGCUGGGGUCCCUAAGGACUACACUGGAAAGGAGGUUAAUGUCAAGAACUUCUUUGCUGUCCUGCUCGGUAAUAAAACCGCGGUGAGUGGUGGGAACGGCAAAGUUGUGGACAGUGGCCCUAAUGAUCACAUUUUUGUGUUUUACAGUGACCAUGGGGGUCCUGGGGUCCUUGGGAUGCCUACCUAUCCAUACCUUUACGGUGACGAUCUUGUAGAUGUCCUGAAGAAAAAGCACGCUGCUGGAACCUACAAAAGCCUGGUAUUUUACCUUGAAGCCUGCGAAUCUGGGAGCAUCUUUGAGGGACUUCUGCCAAAUGACAUCGGUGUCUAUGCGACCACCGCUUCGAAUGCAGAGGAAAGCAGUUGGGGAACGUAUUGCCCCGGCGAGUACCCGAGCCCUCCGCCGGAAUAUGACACUUGCUUGGGCGACCUGUACAGCAUUUCUUGGAUGGAAGACAGUGAUGUCCACAACCUGAGAACUGAAUCUCUCAAGCAGCAGUAUAACCUGGUCAAGAAGAGAACGGCAGCUCAGGACUCAUACAGCUAUGGUUCCCAUGUGAUGCAAUACGGUUCUUUGGACCUGAAUGCUGAACAUUUGUUCUCGUACAUUGGGUCAAACCCUGCUAACGAGAACACUACAUUUGUUGAAGAUAACGCACUGCCAUCAUUCUCAAGAGCUGUUAAUCAGAGGGAUGCUGAUCUUGUUUAUUUCUGGCAGAAGUACCGGAAAUUGGCCGAGAGCUCCCCUGAGAAAAACGAUGCUCGGAAGCAAUUGCUUGAAAUGAUGGGUCAUAGAUCUCAUAUUGACAACAGCAUCGAGCUGAUUGGAAACCUUCUGUUUGGUUCUGCGGGUGGUCCGAUGGUUCUAAAGGCUGUUCGCCCAGCUGGUGAGCCUCUUGUUGAUGACUGGAGUUGUCUCAAGUCUACGGUGCGCACUUUUGAAUCACAAUGUGGCUCACUGGCGCAGUAUGGAAUGAAGCACAUGCGGCCCUUUGCAAACAUCUGCAAUGCCGGCAUUGUUCCUGAAGCGACGGCAAAGGUUGCUGCUCAGGCAUGCACGAGCAUCCCAACCAACCCCUGGAGUGCCACACACAAGGGUUUUAGUGCUUAA